Hordeum vulgare subsp. vulgare (domesticated barley) is the source of this 110-nucleotide non-coding RNA. The record is from Rfam. NCBI's taxonomy places the organism in Eukaryota, Viridiplantae, Streptophyta, Magnoliopsida, Poales, Poaceae.
UUACUACUCCCUCCGAUCCAUAUUACUUGUCUUUGAUUUGUCUAGAUACGGAUGUAUGUCCGUAUCUAGACAAAUCAAAGACAAGUAAUAUGGAUCGGAGGGAGUACAGU